AUUGAACGCUGGCGGCAUGCUUUACACAUGCAAGUCGAACGGUAACAGGUUAAGCUGACGAGUGGCGAACGGGUGAGUAAUGCAUCGGAACGUGCCCGAUCGUGGGGGAUAACACUUCGAAAGAAGUGCUAAUACCGCAUACGAUCUGAGGAUGAAAGCGGGGGACCGUAAGGCCUCGUGCGAUCGGAGCGGCCGAUGUCAGAUUAGGUAGUUGGUGGGGUAAAGGCUCACCAAGCCGACGAUCUGUAGCUGGUCUGAUAGGACGACCAGCCACACUGGGACUGAGACCCGGCCCAGACUCCUAGGGGAGGCAGCAGUGGGGAAUUUUGGACAAUGGGCGCAAGCCUGAUCCAGCAAUGCCGCGUGCAGGAAGAAGGCCUUCGGGUUGUAAACUGCUUUUGUACGGAGCGAAAAGGCUCCCUCUAAUACAGGGGGCUCAUGACGGUACCGUAAGAAUAAGCACCGGCUAACUACGUGCCAGCCGCCGCCGUAA
RNAcentral lists this ribosomal RNA (493 nucleotides) under uncultured bacterium. Its description in RNAcentral is "partial 16S ribosomal RNA". It matches the Rfam family "Bacterial small subunit ribosomal RNA", at positions 30 to 523 of the family's 1533-position model. The record is from RNAcentral.